This 26-nucleotide non-coding RNA is filed under the name Homo sapiens (human). Lineage: Eukaryota; Metazoa; Chordata; Mammalia; Primates; Hominidae. The record is from RNAcentral.
UACGAUGAGGACUACGAUGACGAGCA